CGCUGGCGGCAGGCCUAACACAUGCAAGUCGAGCGCACCUUCGGGUGAGCGGCGGACGGGUUAGUAACGCGUGGGAACGUGCCCUUCUCUACGGAAUAGCCUCUGGAAACGGAGAGUAAUACCGUAUACGCCCUUUGGGGGAAAGAUUUAUCGGAGAAGGAUCGGCCCGCGUUAGAUUAGGUAGUUGGUGGGGUAACGGCCUACCAAGCCUACGAUCUAUAGCUGGUUUUAGAGGAUGAUCAGCAACACUGGGACUGAGACACGGCCCAGACUCCUACGGGAGGCAGCAGUGGGGAAUCUUAGACAAUGGGGGCAACCCUGAUCUAGCCAUGCCGCGUGAGUGGUGAAGGCCUUAGGGUCGUAAAGCUCUUUCGCCUGUGAUGAUAAUGACAGUAGCAGGUAAAGAGACUCCGGCUAACUCCGUGCCAGCAGCCGCGGUAAUACGGAGGGGGUUAGCGUUGUUCGGAAUUACUGGGCGUAAAGCGCGCGUAGGCGGA
RNAcentral lists this ribosomal RNA (497 nucleotides) under uncultured Alphaproteobacteria bacterium. Its description in RNAcentral is "bacterial SSU rRNA". It matches the Rfam family "Bacterial small subunit ribosomal RNA", at positions 34 to 579 of the family's 1533-position model. Lineage: Bacteria; Pseudomonadati; Pseudomonadota; Alphaproteobacteria. The record is from RNAcentral.